Molecule: ribosomal RNA, 463 nt
Filed under: uncultured Glomus
Lineage: Eukaryota; Fungi; Glomeromycota; Glomeromycetes; Glomerales; Glomeraceae
Description: SSU rRNA
Rfam family: Eukaryotic small subunit ribosomal RNA
Source: RNAcentral
AGUCUGGUGCCAGCAGCCGCGGUAAUUCCAGCUCCAAUAGCGUAUAUUAAAGUUGUUGCAGUUAAAAAGCUCGUAGUUGAAUUUCGGGGUUAGUAGGUUGGUCAUGCCUCUGGUAUGUACUGGUCUCACUGAUUCCUCCUUCCUGAUGAACCGUAAUGCCAUUAAUUUGGUGUUGCGGGGAAUUUGGACUGUUACUUUGAAAAAAUUAGAGUGUUUAAAGCAAGCUAACGCUUGAAUACAUUAGCAUGGAAUAAUGAAAUAGGACGUUCGAUCCUAUUUUGUUGGUUUCUAGGAUUGACGUAAUGAUUAAUAGGGAUAGUUGGGGGCAUUAGUAUUCAAUUGUCAGAGGUGAAAUUCUUGGAUUUAUUGAAGACUAACUACUGCGAAAGCAUUUGCCAAGGAUGUUUUCAUUAAUCAAGAACGAAAGUUAGGGGAUCGAAGACGAUCAGAUACCGUCGUAGUC